Lathyrus oleraceus (garden pea) is the source of this 432-nucleotide long non-coding RNA. RefSeq lists it as uncharacterized. The transcript has 2 exons. The record is from RefSeq and is a predicted model, not a curated record. NCBI's taxonomy places the organism in Eukaryota, Viridiplantae, Streptophyta, Magnoliopsida, Fabales, Fabaceae.
AAACCAUCACAAAUAGAGAUCAAACUCACUAAAUUUGGAGAAAUAAAUCAUAGAGAAACAUGCCAAUGCUGCAAACCUCCAACUGUAUCUCUAAAAAAUCAGUAAUAGUUACCAUAGGCAUAUUAUAUUUAGUGUUUCUUGUCGGAAAAUGCAUUAACGAUAAAAACAAAGGACAAAAUGAAAAAAGUAAAAGAAAACCAGGUGGCACAGGUGUAGGAGGAGGAGGGCCUGAUCCAGAUUCGACUCCCAAAUGAGUAGUUGAUCAUUUUUUUAAAACACAUUAGUAAUUAAUUUGGAGUUGUUUUAGUUUUAUUUUAUUUGGAAUUUAUGUUUUUACUUUCAUUUUAACAUAAUGAUCCAGAUGUAAACAGAUGUAUCAAAGGAAUUGGCAAUAUUACAUUGAAAUGAGAUUGAGGAUAGUUAAUAGUAUUA